AGGAAUUUAUUUAGUUAUUUUUUUAAUAAAAGUAUUUUUUCGUUUUUUAAAUUUUUUGAAUUAAUUUUUUUUUCUUUUAGUUUAUUUGUAUAGUGAUUGGUUAUUGAAAUAUAUUGAAAAUUUUUUUAUUUAUAAGAAUAUUUUAUUUAUAGUACCUUGUGUAUCAGGGUUGAUUAAUUAAAUUUUAUGAUUAAUUUUUCUCGAAUUUAAGAGAGUUAUAUUUUUAUUGAUUUUAUUGUUGAAUUAAUAUUUAUAAUUUAGUUAUGGUUAAGAAAUUUAAUUCGUUCUUGAAUAUAUCUAGUUAUUGAAGAAUUUAAUUUAAUUUUUUCGGUUUUAAUUUAUUUAUUUUUUUUUAUUUUUAAUUUUUGGUCGUUAAACUUUAAUUGGGAUAAUUUAUUUAAGGUAUUUUUAUAAAAAUUUUAUUUUUUUUAUUAUGUAGAGUUAGAAGUUUUUUUCUUUAAAAGUGUUUUAUAAUUUUUUAAUUUAUGUUUUUGAUUUAUUUUUUUUUAAUUUUUUUAUUCAAUUUUUUUUAUUAAUUUAUUUGGUAAUAAAUAAUGAUUAAAUUAGUAGAUUUAUUUGUUUGUUUAUUUUUUUAAAAAGGUUUUACAAAGUAAUUCGGCAAUUUUAUUUUCCGUCUGUUUAUUAAAAACAUAGCUUUGUUGAUUUUGAUUCAAAGUAUUGUCUGCCCACUGAUUAUUUAAAUGGCCGCGGUAUAAUGACCGUGCAAAGGUAGCAUAAUAAUUAGUUCUUUAAUUAAGAGCUGGAAUGAAUGGUUAAACGAGAGAAUGACUGUCUCUGUUAAAUUUAUUUGAAUUUUACUUUUAAGUGAAAAGGCUUAAUUUUAUUUAAGGGACGAGAAGACCCUAUAGAGUUUAAUAGUUUAAAAUAAUUAAUUAUUUGGAAUUUAAUUUUUAGUUGUUUUUAAUUAUUUGGUUGGGGAGAUUACUAGAAAAGAUAAACUCUAGUUUAUUUUUACAUUUAUUUAUGGAUUUUUGAUCCUUUAUUAUGGAUUUAAAGAUUAAAUUACCUUAGGGAUAACAGCGUAAUAUCUUUGUAGAGUUCGUAUCAAUAAGGGUGUUUGCGACCUCGAUGUUGGAUUAAAAUAAGUUUUUGGUGUAGCAGUUAAAAUACUAAGUCUGUUCGACUUUUAAAUUUUUACAUGAUCUGAGUUUAGACCGGUGUGAGCCAGGUUGGUUUCUAUCUUUAAUAAUUUUAUAAUUUUUUAGUACGAAAGGACCAAAAAUUUAAUAUAUUAUUUUUUAUUUGACUAAA
This 1272-nucleotide ribosomal RNA is filed under the name Chelonarium sp. BMNH 840450. Its description in RNAcentral is "16S ribosomal RNA". The stretch from base 595 to 1272 matches the Rfam family "Eukaryotic large subunit ribosomal RNA", at positions 1890 to 3085 of the family's 3401-position model. The record is from RNAcentral. Lineage: Eukaryota; Metazoa; Arthropoda; Insecta; Coleoptera; Chelonariidae.